Molecule: ribosomal RNA, 492 nt
Filed under: uncultured bacterium
Lineage: Bacteria
Description: partial 16S ribosomal RNA
Rfam family: Bacterial small subunit ribosomal RNA
Source: RNAcentral
GAUGAACGCUAGCUACAGGCUUAACACAUGCAAGUCGAGGGGAAACGACAUCGAAAGCUUGCUUUUGAUGGGCGUCGACCGGCGCACGGGUGAGUAACGCGUAUCCAACCUGCCCAUCGCUUGGGGAUAACCUUGCUAAAGUAAGACUAAUACCCAAUGAUAUCUCUAGAAGACAUCUGAAAGAGAUUAAAGAUUUAUCGGAGAUGGAUGGGGAUGCGUCUGAUUAGCUUGUUGGCGGGGUAACGGCCCACCAAGGCAACGAUCAGUAGGGGUUCUGAGAGGAAGAUCCCCCACAUUGGAACUGAGACACGGACCAGACUCCUACGGGAGGCAGCAGUGAGGAAUAUUGGUCAAUGGUCGGGAGCCUGAACCAGCCAAGUAGCGUGCAGGAAGACUGCCCUAUGGGUUGUAAACUGCUUUUAUAAGGGAAGAAUGUGGGGGACGUGACUGUUUAUGAAUGUACCUUAUGAAUAAGGACCGGCUAACUCCGUG